AUUGAACGCUGGCGGCAUGCCUUACACAUGCAAGUCGAACGGUAACAGGUCUUCGGAUGCUGACGAGUGGCGUACGGGUGAGUAAUACACCGGAACGUGCCCGAUCGUGGGGGGUAACGAAGCGAAAGCUUUGCUAAUACCUCAUACGAUCUACGUAUGAAACCAGGGGACCGCCAGGCCUUGCGUGACCGGAGCGGCCGAUGGCAGAUUAGGUAGUUGGUGGGACAUAAGCUUACCAAGCCGACGAUCUGUAGCUGGUCUGAGAGGACGACCAGCCACCCUGUGAGUGAGACAGGGCCGAGACUCCUGCAGGGAGAAGCAGUGGGGAAUUUUGGAGGAUGCAGGAGAGCCUGAUCCAGCCAUGCCGCGUGCAGGAUGAAGGCGUUAGGGUUGUAAACUGAUUUUGUACGGAGCGAAAAGAAUCUGGUUAAUACGUGGGGUCCAUGACGGUACCGUAAGAAUAAGCACCGGCUAACUACGUG
This 482-nucleotide ribosomal RNA is filed under the name uncultured bacterium. RNAcentral's name for it is "partial 16S ribosomal RNA". It matches the Rfam family "Bacterial small subunit ribosomal RNA", at positions 30 to 507 of the family's 1533-position model. The record is from RNAcentral.